UACGGAGGAUGCGAGCGUUAUCCGGAUUUAUUGGGUUUAAAGGGUGCGUAGGCGGAGUGCCAAGUCAGCGGUAAAAAUUCGGGGCUCAACCCCGUCGUGCCGUUCAAACUGGCGCCCUUGAGUGGGCGAGAAGUAUGCGGAAUGCGUGGUGUAGCGGUGGAGUGCAUAGAUAUCACGCAGAACCCCGAUUGCGAAGGCAGCAUACCGGCGCCCGACUGACGCUGAAGCACGAAAGCGUGGGUAUCGAACAGG
RNAcentral lists this ribosomal RNA (252 nucleotides) under uncultured bacterium. Its description in RNAcentral is "partial 16S ribosomal RNA". It matches the Rfam family "Bacterial small subunit ribosomal RNA", at positions 524 to 776 of the family's 1533-position model. The record is from RNAcentral.